Molecule: ribosomal RNA, 733 nt
Filed under: uncultured archaeon
Lineage: Archaea
Description: bacterial SSU rRNA
Rfam family: Archaeal small subunit ribosomal RNA
Source: RNAcentral
ACGGGGUGCAGCAGGCGCGAAAACUCACCAAUUCACGAAAGUGUGAGUGGGCCAUCCCGAGUGCCAUCCGCUGAGGAUGGCUUUUCCUUAGUGUACAAAGCUGGGGGAAUAAGGAGAGGGCAAGUCUGGUGUCAGCCGCCGCGGUAAUACCAGCUCUCCGAGUGGUGGGGAUGUUUAUUGGGCCUAAAGCAUUCGUAGCCUGCUGGGCAAGUCCUCCGUUAAAUCCAACGACUCAAUCGUUGGGCCGCGGGGGAUACUGUUCGGCUAGGGGGCGGAAGAGGUCGACGGUAUUCUCGGGGUAGGGGUGAAAUCCUAUAAUCCCGGGAGGACCACCAGUGGCGAAGGCUGUCGGCUAGAAUGCGCCCGACGGUGAGGGAUGAAAGCUGGGGGAGCGAACCGGAUUAGAUACCCGGGUAGUCCCAGCCGUAAACGAUGCAAGCUAGGUGUUGGCGCGGCUACGUGCCGCUCCAGUGCCGCAGGGAAGCCGUUAAGCCUGCCGCCUGGGAAGUACGGCCGCAAGGCUGAAACUUAAAGGAAUUGGCGGGGGAGCACCACAAGGGGUGAAGCUUGCGGUUUAAUUGGAGUCAACGCCGGAAAUCUCACCGGGGGCGACAGCAGGUUGAAGGUCAGAUUGAAGGUCUUACCAGACAAGCUGAGAGGAGGUGCAUGGCCGUCGCCAGUUCGUGCCGUGAGGUGUCCUGUUAAGUCAGGCAACGAUCGAGACCCGCAUCCC